This 253-nucleotide ribosomal RNA is filed under the name uncultured bacterium. RNAcentral describes it as "partial 16S ribosomal RNA". It matches the Rfam family "Bacterial small subunit ribosomal RNA", at positions 524 to 776 of the family's 1533-position model. The record is from RNAcentral.
UACGGAGGGGGCGAGCGUUAUUCGGAAUUAUUGGGCGUAAAGGGCGCGUAGGCGGCUAGGUAAGUCAAAGGUGAAAUCCCUCGGCUCAACUGAGGAACUGCCUUUGAAACUGCCUAGCUUGAGGCCGGGAGGGGGUGGCGGAAUUCCCAGUGUAGCGGUGAAAUGCGUAGAUAUUGGGAGGAACACCAGUGGCGAAGGCGGCUUCCUGGACCGACACUGACGCUGAGGCGCGAAAGCUAGGGGAGCAAACGGG